RNAcentral lists this ribosomal RNA (308 nucleotides) under uncultured bacterium. RNAcentral's name for it is "partial 16S ribosomal RNA". It matches the Rfam family "Bacterial small subunit ribosomal RNA", at positions 505 to 807 of the family's 1533-position model. The record is from RNAcentral.
GAGACAGCAGUCGCCGCGGUAAUACAGAGGGUGCGAGCGUUAAUCGGAUUUACUGGGCGUAAAGCGUGCGUAGGCGGCUUUUUAAGUCGGAUGUGAAAUCCCUGAGCUUAACUUAGGAAUUGCAUUCGAUACUGGGAAGCUAGAGUAUGGGAGAGGAUGGUAGAAUUCCAGGUGUAGCGGUGAAAUGCGUAGAGAUCUGGAGGAAUACCGAUGGCGAAGGCAGCCAUCUGGCCUAAUACUGACGCUGAGGUACGAAAGCAUGGGGAGCAAACAGGAUUAGAUACCCGCGUAGUCCCUGUCUCUUAUAC